This 1471-nucleotide long non-coding RNA is filed under the name Capsicum annuum. RNAcentral's name for it is "long non-coding RNA (CANN_LNC010884)". Lineage: Eukaryota; Viridiplantae; Streptophyta; Magnoliopsida; Solanales; Solanaceae. The record is from RNAcentral.
ACACCUCAAAAAUAAACAUUUCACUAUAAUUAAUAUUUGUACAAUUAUAAGAAUAUAUAAAAAAUAUAUGGACACAAAAUUUAAAUCUUCAUUGAAUGUCAUUCCCGACAAAUAUUUCCAAUAACCUGUAUAAAAACUUGUAACAAAAAUGUUAAUAACAAAUAAUCAUCAAAAUAAAAUUUAAAAGAUAUGUAUGCAUAUAUGUAUUUAAAAAUAUAAUUGCUAAAAGGUGGCUCAGAUUUAAUUUCAAAUACGGCAUGGCUACAAAGUAAUUGCUAAUUUAUUAGCCGUCCCAAAUCGUCUUGUCAAGAUACGAAAUAAAACUUUUUGCAUUGUUAUAAAAAUUUUAUCAUCGCCCGAAUCUAAUCAUUUAUUACGUAUUUUAUUUACGUAACAUACAUCUUUUAUUUAUGUAAAGGCCUCAAAAAUCGACGAAGAAUUUCUUCAUCAACCAAGUGUCGGUUCUUAAUAUAAAAUAAUAAUUUUUAUAAAAUAAAGUCCGUCUUUGGUAAUGGAGUGACCUCAAAUAUUUAGACAAAAGAGAUAAUUACAUUGACCAAAUUUAUUUGUUGCGAAUUAAAUGGAGGUCAACUAACAAAAUAGUGUAAAUGAUAAUGGUGAUAAAGUAACAGCAAAAUUAAAGCGAAACAAAAAUUAUAUCUAUUGAUUGUGAUAACUAAUAAACAAGUUGCAAAAAACAAAAAGAUAAGAACCAAAAAUGAAGUUAAUGAAAAAAAAAAAGCAACAAUGAUUUCAAGCAUAGCAUAAAAUGAAGAACGAGCAAAUAGAGUCAAAAAAAAUGAACAAGUCACCGGAAAAUUAAGAAAUGUGCAGAGAAUCAGUUCAAAAAAUAGAAACUUACCUUCGCAACAAAAUUUAAAAUAAAAAAACAUAAACAACAACAACCAUGAUCAUGAAAAAAAAUAGAGCAAAUCUUUGAAAUAAAUAUGAAUAACGAUGAUAUAAAAAAAAAAGAAAAAAUAGAGAAAAAUGAUUUGCUUGGUUGUGCUCCGAUUUGGAGCUGUUCGCCGGAGGCUUGAAGCAAAAGGAGAGGUGACGGGCAGUGAUAGUUUCGGUGGUCGCUGGCGCCGAUUUUGUUGUAAUUCCGGCCAGAUUUGGUCGGAGAAGAGGGAAGAAAAGACUAGGGUCUAUUGGGAAUUGGUUGGUUUGUUGGGCGACGGGAAAAAAGGGGGAAGAGAUCCGUCCGGCCGGUCGGUUGCUCCGACGGCGGCGGUAGGUGAAGGAGAAAGAGCGAGAUGAGAGCGGGAAGAGAAAGUGAUGAGAGAGAGUGGGGACUUGUGUAUUUGUGCGUGUGUUUGUGUGUGUAUUGGAUGUAGUGUGUAUUUAAAAGAAAAGUAAUAAUAAAAGGAUAAACUGAAUAGAGUAGCAAAUCUAAGUUUUAAAUUACAAAAAAUAGCAAUACUUUAAUGAAAUUAUCUUAUGUAGCAAAUCUAACAUUAUUUUAAGUGGG